CCGAAAAUCAAUUUUUCCACUUUUUCCUUCGUUUUUCUCUCUCCUGGCUUUUUCUCUCUCUUCAAAAUAUCUCAUUUCUAUAUAUAUCCAGACUGAUCGUCCAGGACGAUCGCACUUCGUCUCGGGACGAUCUGGCUCUGGACAAGUGUCGUCCAAACGAGAUUUAAUUAUCGUCCCCGGCGACCGGUCCUCUUGAAAAUUUUCGUCCAGAAGAUCCAAAUUUCGUCCAGACGAUCCAUGCAGCCAGAACUGUUUUCCUUGAACAACCUAUACCGAUCGUCCCGGACGAUCCAAUUUCGUCCGGACGAACCUGGAGCAAAAACUGAUGUUACACAACCUUUCCCUCGUCGCUACUUGAGCGCUUUAGGUAGGUGUUAAAUGACACCGUGGUUGCAUUUUUUUUUAUCCCCACCGGCUAUAUGAGCUUUUAAGGAUUUUUCUUUUUGGUACUUAUUUAAAAGAGCACAGUUUCUUUCCCCCAUCUGCCUACGUGAGCAUUUGGAGGUACUUAGUUUUCGUCCCCCUCAUGCUACAUGAGCACUCCGGGGAUUACCCACCUCGUUGUGCCGGUUUCCCUCCCAACUAUUGCCACGUGAGUGCGUAGGGGGUUUGCUGGCUCGUCGCAAGCCACGAGAGAAGGAUUUUUUUUUUAAGUUAGGAGUUAUACCUUUGCGUGUCGACGGUGGGGUGACGGCGAUAGAAGGCACAAAAUCAUAUCUUUCUUUUUUUUUGCUUCUUUUUUUUUUUUUUUGAAAACCCCACUUCUUUUGUACAUAUGUAUGCAUCUAUAAUGAUACAAGCUUCUGAUAGCGCUAAGCAAAAGGAAUAGCCAUAACAGUUAUCACAUUUAACUAGUGACAAUAGCCAUAGUUAAUAAUGAGUGAUAACAACACUAAACAAUGAAAAUAAAUACUAUCAUGAUUCUCUGAAGAAACUAUACGGAUUGAAUGUUUUGGGCUUACAAAGUGAGGUGGAAUUGGGCUUGCUGUUAGCAAUGGAAAAGAGAAUAUGAUGGGAUUUGGUAUGCUGUAGGAAGUGGUUGGGAUUGUUUAUAUAUUUAGUGGAAUAUGCUAAGUGGCUGUGGGGAAGAGAAUGAAUUGGUGAUGUGAAUCAAACAGGCUUUUGUGGGCUAGAUUGCAAGUGAAGGCACGGACUUGGUGUAAAAGCUACAGGUGAAUAAUAAAAGAAAGCAUUUGAGUGUGGAUGAAUCAGUGAAAAGUGAUUUCAUGUGGAAGGGAAUCGGAGCAAAAGCUGUCUAAUUUGCUAGGCUGGCUCUUGAAGCAGUUUUGGGCUGAAAUUCGAAGGCGAAAUGAGUUGCUGUUUGGGCAUACGUUUGAUUUAAAAUAGUGGGCUGAAGUGGUUUUGACACAUUGCUGCAUUUAUUUUACUUGGCUUUGGUUUACACCUCAGAUUAAAUAGACUUUAAAAGCUCACUGUUAGCUUGCCAAAAUGACAUUGAAGGCUUUAUCUGCUCUGUUAAACAAGUCUUGACUCAUCUCUAGAAAGCAUUAAAAAAAAAAAAUGAUUUUUUGUUUUUGUUUGAAGACUGAUCAUGCUUGCUGUCAAAAGACUUUCUUAAAUGGGUGUCAGGGAUUCCAUUCUUUCCUUUUUUUUUACCUUAAAGUAAGGAAGCAAUGGGGAGGCUGCAGUUGUUGUGAGCUGAUUGUCCAAAAUAGGUUUCAGAGGUAAGAGAGAAGGAGAUUGUUGUUAGAAUUUAGCUGAGUGUAAUGACAGGGAAUAGGCUGUUGUAGGCUCCUUCACGUGGAGAGUGAUCAAGGAGCAGCUUUCACUUGAGAUGGGAACUGCUGUAGUUGAGAACAAAAAGGGGUUUCUGUAGUAGGGUGAGAGGAAGGAACAAGAAGAGGCUGUAGGGAGGAAAGGUGUGAAGUGUAGUGAUGGAUUGGAGGGGAUGAGUUAUUUUGCUUGGUGGCUGUAAGGAGAGGAAGGGAGCUGGUUUCCUUGUGUAAAGCAGAGGAGUUUCACGGCCAAGUGGGGGGAAUCAGCCUGCUGAUGUUGAGAAGUUGGGCUGCUGUUGCAGCUUCACGUGAGGGAGGGAGGAAGAAAGAGCAUGAAUCAAGUUCCUGCACAGUUGGGGGAGUUGAGAGUUACAGAUUGUAGUGGAGAACAAUUGUUCAAAUGGAGGGGGCUGAGUAUAUAAUAGGUUAUUCAGCUCUUUAUUUUUUUAUUUCUCCACUGGCUGAUAUGACUUGGGCAACUGAUAGUUGACAGGAUAUGAUUUGUGCAGGAUUUAACAGAGAUAUGGGAUGGGCAGCCGGUUUUGAGCAGGAAAGAAGAAAGCGAUAGUACUAUUGGAUGAGGAAGAUGGAUGGAAUGACUGACAUAGGAGUGAUGGAGAAGAUUAUAGAGCUAUCAUAUAUCACGUACAACAAUUCUUUAGACGGCCCUGCACUCCUGCUUGUGAUAAUGAAAAUGAUGACGUUGAUUUGGGGGGGCAUAAAAGACUCUUUUAGAGUCUAAUUCUAUCACAUGUUUCUAAUAUUUUAUGUUUUUUCGAACUCAUAACUUAUAUUCAAUUUUUUAAAGUUUGUAUGCUUUCUUUUAAUGUGUCUUCUAUGGAUUAAGGUUAUGUUUUUUGCUGUCCUAA
Long non-coding RNA from Dendrobium catenatum, 2605 nucleotides. RefSeq lists it as uncharacterized. NCBI's taxonomy places the organism in Eukaryota, Viridiplantae, Streptophyta, Magnoliopsida, Asparagales, Orchidaceae. The record is from RefSeq and is a predicted model, not a curated record. The transcript has 2 exons.